This 29-nucleotide non-coding RNA is filed under the name Mus musculus (house mouse). The record is from RNAcentral. Lineage: Eukaryota; Metazoa; Chordata; Mammalia; Rodentia; Muridae.
UGCAUGGCACGUGCCUUAGAGGGUGAAGG